CUGGUAUUUUUACCCACUUCCACAGGACACCGGAGAAACUUUUCCAAGUUCAGGCCUUAUGGGUCUCUGCUCUGCCUGCCCACUGUUCUUAGCACCACCCCCAGAACGUUCCGCGUCCCCUGAGCUCUGCCUGGCCUUGUCUCUCCAGACUUAGCACCUCCUGGCCCCCCAUCACGUUGCUCCACCCUGGCCUCCUUCAGGCCUCAGCUUCUACCUGCCUUCUGGCCUCUGCAUAGGCCGCUUCCUCUGCCAAGACACCCUCUCCCUCCCCCCCCCCCACCUGGUUCCCUGCUCCGGCCCUCCAGGUGUCAGAUCUGGAGGCCCUUCUGAUCUCAAUGGCCCCAGUGAGGGACCCACAUGAACCAUGGCCUCUCCUUUAAGGCUCUGCCCAUGUGCACCUUCAUACAUUCCGUUUAGGGACUUGACAGGGGUCUGUCGCUCAGCCAGAGGAAGCCAUAGGCAGGCAGGGACUAGUGCUUUGCUGCUACAGCCUGACAACAGUGGUUGGUGCCAGGACACAGCUGGUGUUGAUAAACAUUUGUUAGGUGCAUGAAUGAUGGAGGGAAGGAAUCCUUCCCAGCAAGCCCCUGUGAUCCCCAUUCCCUGCUCCCUUCCUGCCAGAGGUGAGCUCUUCGCCCUGGAGACCUAUCCUGUCUUUGGGAUAGACUGUGUUUGAGAAGCAUACAAGGCACAAUCACUAGUCAGUAAUUAGGGCAUGGAAGCCAGGCAUCAUGGGUCUGAACCUCUCACCAGCUGUGUGACCUUGGGCAAAUUGCUAAACCUUGCUGUGCUUCAAUUUCCCUAGCUAUAAGAGGGGGAAAGAAAUAAUAGUACUUUUAAUGCACAGGGUUGCUGUGAGGGCUAAAAAACCAAAUACAUCGAAAGCCCUGAGCACAUGCCUGGCACAGAGUGAGUGCUCAAUAGAUGGUCUUCAUGUUAUUAUUGCUACUGCUCGGCCACCAUAUUUCAUUUAAUUCAAAGACGAACAUUCUCUCCAGAUUCAACAUUUCUGAAAUCAGAACUGAAAUGGUCCCUGAAAU
This is a non-coding RNA of Callorhinus ursinus (northern fur seal), 1040 nucleotides long. The record is from RefSeq and is a predicted model, not a curated record. NCBI's taxonomy places the organism in Eukaryota, Metazoa, Chordata, Mammalia, Carnivora, Otariidae.